This 69-nucleotide transfer RNA is filed under the name Gymnothorax meleagris (turkey moray). RNAcentral's name for it is "tRNA-Trp". It matches the Rfam family "tRNA". From Rfam's summary of the family: Transfer RNA (tRNA) molecules are approximately 80 nucleotides in length. Their secondary structure includes four short double-helical elements and three loops (D, anti-codon, and T loops). The record is from RNAcentral. RNAcentral also lists the same sequence under 1 other name. Lineage: Eukaryota; Metazoa; Chordata; Actinopteri; Anguilliformes; Muraenidae.
AGAGACUUAGGAUAAAUAGACCAGGGGCCUUCAAAGCCCCAAGUGGGAGUUAAACCCUCCCAGCCUCUG